RNAcentral lists this ribosomal RNA (896 nucleotides) under Culicinomyces bisporalis. RNAcentral describes it as "LSU rRNA". It matches the Rfam family "Eukaryotic large subunit ribosomal RNA", at positions 38 to 964 of the family's 3401-position model. Lineage: Eukaryota; Fungi; Ascomycota; Sordariomycetes; Hypocreales; Clavicipitaceae. The record is from RNAcentral.
GCAUAUCAAUAAGCGGAGGAAAAGAAACCAACAGGGAUUGCCCCAGUAACGGCGAGUGAAGCGGCAACAGCUCAAAUUUGAAAUCUGGCCCCCAGGGCCCGAGUUGUAAUUUGCAGAGGAUGCUUUUGGCGCGGCGCCUUCCGAGUUCCCUGGAACGGGACGCCACAGAGGGUGAGAGCCCCGUCCGGUCGGACGCCUAGCCUGUGUAAAGCUCCUUCGACGAGUCGAGUAGUUUGGGAAUGCUGCUCUAAAUGGGAGGUAUAUGUCUUCUAAAGCUAAAUAUUGGCCAGAGACCGAUAGCGCACAAGUAGAGUGAUCGAAAGAUGAAAAGCACUUUGAAAAGAGGGUUAAACAGUACGUGAAAUUGUUGAAAGGGAAGCGCUCGUCACCAGACUUGCGCCCGGCGGAUCAUCCGGCGUUCUCGCCGGUGCACUUCGCCGGGCGCAGGCCAGCAUCGGUUCGCCGCGGGGGACAAAGGCGGUGGGAACGUAGCCCCCCCGGGGGUGUUAUAGCCCGCCGCGCAAUGCCCUGGGGCGGACCGAGGUCUGCGCAUCCGCAAGGAUGCUGGCGUAAUGGUGGUCAGCGACCCGUCUUGAAACACGGACCAAGGAGUCGUCCUCGUAUGCGAGUGUUCGGGUGUCAAACCCCUACGCGCAAUGAAAGUGAACGCAGGUGAGAGCUUCGGCGCAUCAUCGACCGAUCCUGAUGUUCUCGGAUGGAUUUGAGUAAGAGCAUACGGGGCCGGACCCGAAAGAAGGUGAACUAUGCCUGUGUAGGGUGAAGCCAGAGGAAACUCUGGUGGAGGCUCGCAGCGGUUCUGACGUGCAAAUCGAUCGUCAAACAUGGGCAUGGGGGCGAAAGACUAAUCGAACCUUCUAGUAGCUGGUUUCCGCCGA